CACGUGGGUAACCUACCCAUCAGAGGGGGAUAACACUUGGAAACAGGUGCUAAUACCGCAUAACAGUUUAUGCCGCAUGGCAUAAGAGUGAAAGGCGCUUUCGGGUGUCGCUGAUGGAUGGACCCGCGGUGGGGGACUAGUUGGUGAGGUAACGGUCACCAAGGCCACGAUGCAUAGCCGACCUGAGAGGGUGAUCGGCCACACUGGGACUGAGACACGGCCCAGACUCCUACGGGAGGCAGCAGUAGGGAAUCUUCGGCAAUGGACCGAAAGUCUGACCGAGCAACGCCGGUGAGUGACGAAGGUUUUCGGAUCGUAAACUCCUGUUUGUUAGAGAAGACAAGGACGUUAGUAACUGGACGGUCCCCUGACGGGUAUCUAACCAGAAAGCCACGGCUAACUACGUGCCAGCACCCGGUAAUACGUAGGUGGCAAGCUUGUCCGGAUUUAUUGGGCGUAAAGCGAGCGCAGGCGGUUUCUUAAGUCUGAUGUGAAAGCCCCCGGCUCAACCGGGGAGGGUCAUUGGAAACUGGGAGACUUGAGUGCAGAAGAGGAGAGUGGAAUUCCAUGUGUACGGUGAAAUGCGUAGGUAUAUGGAGGAACACCAGUGGCGAAGGCGGCUCUCUGGUCUGUAACUGACGCUGAGGCUCGAAAGCGUGGGGAGCAAACAGGAUUAGAUACCCUGGUAGUCCACGCCGUAAACGAUGAGUGCUAAGUGUUGGAGGGUUUCCGCCCUUCAGUGCUGCAGCAAACGCAUUAAGCACUCCGCCUGGGGAGUACGACCGCAAGUUGA
Molecule: ribosomal RNA, 793 nt
Filed under: uncultured low G+C Gram-positive bacterium
Lineage: Bacteria; Bacillati; Bacillota
Description: bacterial SSU rRNA
Rfam family: Bacterial small subunit ribosomal RNA
Source: RNAcentral